RNAcentral lists this ribosomal RNA (543 nucleotides) under Plagusia depressa. Its description in RNAcentral is "partial 16S ribosomal RNA". It matches the Rfam family "Bacterial large subunit ribosomal RNA", at positions 1831 to 2625 of the family's 2925-position model. The record is from RNAcentral. Lineage: Eukaryota; Metazoa; Arthropoda; Malacostraca; Decapoda; Plagusiidae.
GUCUGUUUGUAGUUGUAGAGAGUUUAACCUGCCCACUGACAAAAUUUAAAGGCCGCGGUAAUUUGACCGUGCAAAGGUAGCAUAGUAAUUAGUUUCUUAAUUGGGAUCUUGUAUGAAUGGUUGGACAAGAAAAAAUCUGUCUUUAUAUUUAUUAUGGAAUUUAACUUUUAAGUGAAAAGGCUUAAAUGAAUUAAAGGGACGAUAAGACCCUAUAAAACUUUAUAUUGUUUAUUAUAUAGCUAAAUUUUUUUAUAUAAAGGCUUAGUAGUAUAAUUUAUUAUAUUGGGGUGAUAAAGGUAAAAUUUUGGAUAACUGUUUAAUUUUUUAAACAAAAAUAGAUGAAAUGUAAGAUGAUCCUUGUUAAAGAUUAAAAGUUUAAGUUACUUUAGGGAUAACAGCGUUAUUUUCUUUGAGAGUCCCUAUCGAAAAGAAAGUUUGCGACCUCGAUGUUGAAUUAAAAUUUCUUUAUAAUUGUAGUAGUUAUAUAAGAAGGUCUGUUCGACCUUUAAAUUUUUACAUGAUUUGAGUUCAAACCGGCGUGAG